GCCUCGGUAGCGCAGUAGGCAGCGCGUAAGUCUCAUAAUCUUAAUAAGGUCGUGAGUUCGAUCCUCACCCGGGGCA
Molecule: transfer RNA, 76 nt
Filed under: Schistocerca americana (American grasshopper)
Lineage: Eukaryota; Metazoa; Arthropoda; Insecta; Orthoptera; Acrididae
Description: tRNA-Met
Rfam family: tRNA
About the family: Transfer RNA (tRNA) molecules are approximately 80 nucleotides in length. Their secondary structure includes four short double-helical elements and three loops (D, anti-codon, and T loops).
Source: RNAcentral